UGGGGAAUAUUGGACAAUGGGCGGAAGCCUGAUCCAGCAAUACCGCGUGUGUGAAGAAGGCCUUCGGGUUGUAAAGCACUUUUGUCAGGGAGAAUGGCAGUUGAGGUUAAUACCCUUAGCUGUUGAUGUUACCUGAAGAAUAAGCACCGGCUAACUCCGUGCCAGCAGCCGCGGUAAUACGGGGGGUGCAAGCGUUAAUCGGAAUUACUGGGCGUAAAGGGCGCGUAGGCGGUUACUUAAGUUAGAUGUGAAAGCCCCGGGCUUAACCUGGGAAUUGCAUUUAAUACUGGGUAACUAGAGUGUGGUAGAGAGUAGCGGAAUUUCUGGUGUAGCGGUGAAAUGCGUAGAUAUCAGAAGGAACACCAAUGGCGAAGGCAGCUGCUUGGGCCAACACUGACGCUGAGGCGCGAAAGCGUGGGGAGCAAACAGG
This 430-nucleotide ribosomal RNA is filed under the name uncultured bacterium. RNAcentral's name for it is "bacterial SSU rRNA". It matches the Rfam family "Bacterial small subunit ribosomal RNA", at positions 355 to 776 of the family's 1533-position model. The record is from RNAcentral.